Molecule: ribosomal RNA, 429 nt
Filed under: Pseudomonadota bacterium
Lineage: Bacteria; Pseudomonadati; Pseudomonadota
Description: Proteobacteria bacterium partial 16S ribosomal RNA
Rfam family: Bacterial small subunit ribosomal RNA
Source: RNAcentral
UGGGGAAUAUUGGACAAUGGGCGAAAGCCUGAUCCAGCCAUGCCGCGUGUGUGAAGAAGGUCUUCGGAUUGUAAAGCACUUUAAGUUGGGAGGAAGGGCAGUAAGCGAAUACCUUGCUGUUUUGACGUUACCGACAGAAUAAGCACCGGCUAACUCUGUGCCAGCAGCCGCGGUAAUACAGAGGGUGCAAGCGUUAAUCGGCAUUACUGGGCGUAAAGCGCGCGUAGGUGGUUCGUUAAGUUGAAUGUGAAAGCCCCGGGCUCAACCUGGGAACUGCAUCCAAAACUGGCGGGCUAGAGUAGGGCAGAGGGUGGUGGAAUUUCCUGUGUAGCGGUGAAAUGCGUAGCUAUAGGAAGGAACACCAGUGGCGAAGGCGACCACCUGGGCUCAUACUGACACUGAGGUGCGAAAGCGUGGGGAGCAAACAGG